AUUGAACGCUGGCGGCAUGCCUUACACAUGCAAGUCGAACGGCAGCACGGGAGCAAUCCUGGUGGCGAGUGGCGAACGGGUGAGUAAUGUAUCGGAACGUACCUUUCAGUGGGGGAUAACGUAGCGAAAGUUACGCUAAUACCGCAUAUUCUGUGAGCAGGAAAGCAGGGGAUCGCAAGACCUUGCGCUGAUUGAGCGGCCGAUAUCAGAUUAGCUAGUUGGUGAGGUAAAGGCUCACCAAGGCGACGAUCUGUAGCGGGUCUGAGAGGAUGAUCCGCCACACUGGAACUGAGACACGGUCCAGACUCCUACGGGAGGCAGCAGUGGGGAAUUUUGGACAAUGGGCGCAAGCCUGAUCCAGCCACGCCGCGUGAGGGAAGAAGGCCUCGGUUG
Molecule: ribosomal RNA, 393 nt
Filed under: uncultured bacterium
Lineage: Bacteria
Description: bacterial SSU rRNA
Rfam family: Bacterial small subunit ribosomal RNA
Source: RNAcentral